UGGGGAAUUUUGGACAAUGGGCGAAAGCCUGAUCCAGCAAUGCCGCGUGAGUGAAGAAGGCCUUCGGGUUGUAAACUGCUUUUGUACGGAACGAAAAAGCUUCUCCUAAUACGAGAGGCCCAUGACAGUACCGUAAGAAUAAGCACCGGCUAACUACGUGCCAGCAGCCGCGGUAAUACGUAGGGUGCGAGCGUUAAUCGGAAUUACUGGGCGUAAAGCGUGCGCAGGCGGUUAUGUAAGACAGAUGUGAAAUCCCCGGGCUCGACCUGGGAACUGCAUUUGUGAAUGCAUGGCUAGAGUACGGUAGAGGGGGAUGGAAUUCCGCGUGUAGCAGUGAAAUGCGUAGAUAUGCGGAGGAACACCGAUGGCGAAGGCAAUCCCCUGGACCUGUACUGACGCUCAUGCACGAAAGCGUGGGGAGCAAACA
Molecule: ribosomal RNA, 427 nt
Filed under: uncultured bacterium
Lineage: Bacteria
Description: bacterial SSU rRNA
Rfam family: Bacterial small subunit ribosomal RNA
Source: RNAcentral